UUUCCGUAGGUGAACCUGCGGAAGGAUCAUUAGUGAAUUGAAUAUGUUAGCGGACCUCUUCGGAGUCCCUAGCAUCAAAUCAUAUCCAUAACACCUGUGAACUGUAAGCCUAUCUUGAAAACGAAAGUGAUAAGACCGCCUGCCCAUUUUAUACAAACAUUAAAGUAACAAGCGUAGUCUUAUUGUAUUCUAAUAAAACUUUCAACAACGGAUCUCUUGGCUCUC
RNAcentral lists this unclassified non-coding RNA (225 nucleotides) under plant metagenome. Its description in RNAcentral is "partial contains small subunit ribosomal RNA, internal transcribed spacer 1, and 5.8S ribosomal RNA". The record is from RNAcentral.